Molecule: ribosomal RNA, 584 nt
Filed under: Actinomycetales bacterium E65
Lineage: Bacteria; Bacillati; Actinomycetota; Actinomycetes; Actinomycetales
Description: bacterial SSU rRNA
Rfam family: Bacterial small subunit ribosomal RNA
Source: RNAcentral
AAGAUACGCUCUCGCGUGCUUAAACAUGCAAGUCGAACGGUGAAGCCCAGCUUGCUGGGUGGAUCAGUGGACAACGGGGGAGUAACACUUGAGUAACCUGCCCCUGACUUUGGGAUAACUCCGGGAAACCGGGGCUAAUACCGGAUAUGAGCUCCUGCCGCAGGGUGGGGGUUGGAAAGAUUUAUCGGUUGGGGAUGGGCUCGCGGCCUAUCAGCUUGUUGGUGGGGUGAUGGCCUACCAAGGCGACGACGGGUAGCCGGCCUGAGAGGGCGACCGGCCACACUGGGACUGAGACACGGCCCAGACUCCUACGGGAGGCACCAGUGGGGAAUAUUGCACAAUGGGCGCAAGCCUGAUGCAGCGACGCCGCGUGAGGGAUGACGGCCUUCGGGUUGUAAACCUCUUUCAGCAGGGAAGAAGCGCAAGUGACGGUACCUGCGGAAGAAGCGCCGGCUAACUACGUGCCAUCAACCGCGGUAAUACGUAGGGCGCCAGCGUUGUCCGGAAUUAUUGGGCGUAAAGAGCUCGUAGGCGGUUUGUCACGUCUGCUGUGAAAUCCCGAGGCUCAACCUCGGGCUUGCAGU